Molecule: small RNA, 28 nt
Filed under: Bombyx mori (domestic silkworm)
Lineage: Eukaryota; Metazoa; Arthropoda; Insecta; Lepidoptera; Bombycidae
Description: ovarian small RNA-9899
Source: RNAcentral
AAAAUUCAAAAAUUAACGGAUUGGUUUC